AGUGGAUAAAAUGGUAUUAUUCAACUAAUCCCAUUUAUCCCAAUGAUUUAUAUUCAGUGAACUGUAAUAACAACGUUGUAAUUACAGUUCACUGUUUAUAAUUGAAAAUGAUAAAAGAUAAGAUUAGAGGGUCAGCAAAAAACGAUGUACAUGUUGUAUGAGUUCAUGCUACGUAAUUUAUCGCUGAAUACGAAAACUUUUUUCUGCACUCGUCAAAAGCAGUUAUGUUACGCUUGAAUUUUCACAAAUACACCUUGCAAACUGUGAAAAGGAAAUUGUUAAAAUUAAUGUACAGGAAUAACCAUAUAUAUAUAAUUAUAUAUAUUUAUAUGCAUUGUAAUUUGUAGGCAUGGUUUGCAUUUUGUAUAAAUCUAGUGCCAUAACUACAAGAAAUGAGCAAUGUAUAAAUUAAUAGAAUGGAUUGUAAAAUCUCUGUGGGAGUGCUCACUUACAAGGCAAAUGAGUACACCACAAUUAAAGCUGUCCUGCUGUGAGAAA
Long non-coding RNA from Xenia sp. Carnegie-2017, 498 nucleotides. RefSeq lists it as uncharacterized. The transcript has 2 exons. NCBI's taxonomy places the organism in Eukaryota, Metazoa, Cnidaria, Anthozoa, Malacalcyonacea, Xeniidae. The record is from RefSeq and is a predicted model, not a curated record.